GAGCCUGAGAAAUGGCUACCACAUCCAAGGAAGGCAGCAGGCGCGCAAAUUACCCAAUCCUGACUCAGGGAGGUAGUGACAAGAAAUAACAACGCUAGGACUUAGUCCUGCGAUUGGAAUGAGUACAACGUAAAAUCCUUAACGAGUACCCACUGGAGGGCAAGUCUGGUGCCAGCAGCCGCGGGAAUUCCAGCUCCAAUAGCG
Molecule: ribosomal RNA, 204 nt
Filed under: Ditylum brightwellii
Lineage: Eukaryota; Bacillariophyta; Thalassiosirophyceae; Lithodesmiales; Lithodesmiaceae
Description: partial Eukaryotic small subunit ribosomal RNA
Rfam family: Eukaryotic small subunit ribosomal RNA
Source: RNAcentral